RNAcentral lists this ribosomal RNA (1459 nucleotides) under metagenome. RNAcentral's name for it is "bacterial LSU rRNA". It matches the Rfam family "Bacterial large subunit ribosomal RNA", at positions 1386 to 2925 of the family's 2925-position model. The record is from RNAcentral.
GGGAGCUAAGGUGAGGCCUAACGGCGUAGCCGAUGCACAGACGGUAGAGAUUCCGUCACCACCAAAAGAGUUAAGCACAGGGACACAUUUGAAGUCUCGGAGCCGGGUGUUGGUUCCGGUAGCGAUCGAGGGAAGUUAGUACCGAAGUCCGGGAUGGAAGAUGGCGAGAAAAGCUGUGUGUAUUUCUGCGGUGCCCGUACCGCAAACCGACACAGGUAGGUAGGAAGAAGAUUCUAAGGCCAACGGGAGAAGGGUUGUUAAGGAACUCGGCAAAUUGACCCCGUAACUUCGGGAGAAGGGGUGCUCCAGAGAUGGAGCCGCAGAGAAUCGGCCCAAGCAACUGUUUACCAAAAACACAGGUUUGUGCUAAAUCGAAAGAUGACGUAUACGAGCUGACGCCUGCCCGGUGCUGGAAGGUUAAGAGGAGAUGUGCAAGCAUUGAAUCGAAGCCCCAGUGAACGGCGGCCGUAACAAUAACGGUCCUAAGGUAGCGAAAUCCCUUGUCAGGUAAGUUCUGACCCGCAUGAAAGGCGUAAUGAUUUGGGCACUGUCUCGACAGCCCGCCCGGCGAAAUUGUAGUACCGGUGAAGAUGCCGGUUACCCGCGACAAGACGGAAAGACCCCAUGGAGCUUUACUGUAGCCUAAUAUUGGGUUUCGAUGUUGCAUGCACAGGAUAGAUGGGACACAGGGAAACAAGUGCUUUGGCAUUUGUGGAGUGGCCGUUGGGAUACCAUCCUUGCGAUAUUGGAAUUCUAACCUGCGCCUUUGAAUCAAGGCGGGGGACAUUGUUAGGUGGGCAGUUUGACUGGGGCGGUCGCCUCCUAAAGAGUAACGGAGGCGUUCAAAGGUUCGCUCAGCUUGAACGGAAAUCAAGCAAAAGAGUGCAAACGCAGAAGCGAGCCUAACUGCGAGACUGACGGGUCGAGCAGUAACGAAAGUUGGAGUUAGUGAUCCGGUGGUAUGUGAGUGGAAAUGCCAUCGCUCAACGGAUAAAAGUUACCCUGGGGAUAACAGGCUGAUCUCCCCCAAGAGUCCACAUCGACGGGGAGGUUUGGCACCUCGAUGUCGGCUCAUCGCAUCCUGGGGCUGUAUUCGGUCCCAAGGGUUUGGCUGUUCGCCAAUUAAAGCGGUACGCGAGCUGGGUUCAGAACGUCGUGAGACAGUUCGGUCCCUAUCUGUCGUGGGCGCAGGAUAUUUGAUGGGAGCUGUUCCUAGUACGAGAGGACCGGAGCGGACGUACCUCUGGCGCACCAGUUGUUCUGCCAAGGGCAUAGCUGGGCAACUAUGUACGGAUCGGAUAAACGCUGAAAGCAUCUAAGCGUGAAGCCGACCCAAAGAUAAGAUAUCCCAUUGUUUCAAACAAGUAAGACCCCUUGAAGACUACAAGGUUGAUAGGCAUGAUGUGUAAGUGGAGUGAUCCAUUCAGCAAGCAUGUACUAAUAGGUCGAGGGCUUGACC